CUACGGAGGGUGCAAGCGUUACUCGGAAUCACUGGGCGUAAAGCGCGCGCAGGCGGGCUGAUAAGUUGGAUGUGAAAGCCUACGGCUCAACCGUAGAACUGCAUCCAAAACUGUCAGUCUCGAGUCUGGGAGGGGAAGAUGGAAUUAGUUGUGUAGGGGUAAAAUCCGUAGAGAUAACUAGGAAUACCAAAAGCGAAGGCGAUCUUCUGGAACAGUACUGACGCUGAGGCGCGAAAGCGUGGGGAGCAAACAGGAUUAGAAACCCUAGUAGUCC
Molecule: ribosomal RNA, 274 nt
Filed under: uncultured bacterium
Lineage: Bacteria
Description: partial 16S ribosomal RNA
Rfam family: Bacterial small subunit ribosomal RNA
Source: RNAcentral